AACGAACGCUGGCGGCAUGCCUAACACAUGCAAGUCGAACGAAACCUCCGGGUCUAGGGGCUAACCGAUGCGUAACCCGUUGAAUCAUGCCCGAAGGACCUGCACAAGUCCUCGAAAGGACUUCUAAUACCGGGUAAUGACAUCGGACCAAAGAUUCUUCGCCUUUGGAUGGGCUCGCGUUGUAUUACCUAGUUGGUAGGGUAAACGCCUACCAAGGCGACGAUCCAUAGCGGGUCUGAGAGGAUGCUCAGCCACACUGGGACUGAGACACGGCCCAGACUCCUACGGGAGGCAGCAGUGGGGAAUAUUGGACAAUGGGCGAAAGCCUGAUCCAGCAAUGCCGCGUGAGUGAUGAAGGCCUUAUGGUUGUAUAGCUCUUUUGCCCGGGAUGAUAAUGACAGUACCGGGAGAAUAAGCUCCGGCUAACUCCGUG
RNAcentral lists this ribosomal RNA (433 nucleotides) under uncultured bacterium. RNAcentral's name for it is "partial 16S ribosomal RNA". It matches the Rfam family "Bacterial small subunit ribosomal RNA", at positions 29 to 507 of the family's 1533-position model. The record is from RNAcentral.